Vicia faba (fava bean) is the source of this 189-nucleotide non-coding RNA. Lineage: Eukaryota; Viridiplantae; Streptophyta; Magnoliopsida; Fabales; Fabaceae. The record is from the annotation of a GenBank genome assembly.
AUGUCCUUUAUCAACAAAAUUAAGUUGGUUCAAUUAUCCGUCUCUGGCAGGCAAUACAACAUAAUGAUGAUGAUGAAAAAAAUUAUAUUCAUUUCUGGGCAUAGCAAAAGAGAUAGCAGAGGAACACUUAUUCAUCAAUUUGUUAUAAUUACAGUUCAAAGUGAUAAAACAUUGUCUACAUCAAUUUGA